Molecule: RNA transcript, 1601 nt
Organism: Hevea brasiliensis (rubber tree)
Lineage: Eukaryota; Viridiplantae; Streptophyta; Magnoliopsida; Malpighiales; Euphorbiaceae
Exons: 5
Source: RefSeq, a predicted model, not a curated record
UGAGUGGAAAAACAAACCUUAUCUAGUUAUCUUGUUGUAGGAUCAAAAAGACUUGAGAUUUCUUGAAACCUCUCUAUGUCCGUCUUCAAGCUAAUUAAUAUCCAAGAAAAUCACUCCUACGAAGGAGAAUGGCUCUACAUAGCAAAGAGAGGUUGCAAUUAUCCAGUAUAUGGCACACGUCCACUUAGGAUGAAAUCUGGACCCCACGUCGAACUUAUCCAUUUAUGUUUCGUGGAAAAAAACAAGGAUGAUCAUGCUGGGAUAUUAAAUUUGUACAGAGAAACAGGAUGUUAAUCGCUGAGCAAAAUUCCCUUAUCUCAGAUAAAAGAAAAACGAAAAUAUAUCUUUUGAAAUAAAUAUUGAGCCUUUUUUCUCUUAUUUUCUUUUCUUGUCGAUGAUGGUGCCUUGGCUGCACAGCCAGUGCCGUCUAGUGUAGUGUUAUAUAUAUAUAUGCACAUGCUUGAUGUUUUUAUGAUGCUGCUCUAGAUUUAUUCCGUCUUCUUUCUUGUUUUUUUCUCUGCGAAUGGUAUCUGUUUUUAUCAGCUUUUUGUGUUUCUUGGAAGGUGGUUGUUAGUGAAAUUGAUUAGUUAAUUAGCCAGAGAUAUAGCUACUUUUGUUAACAAGGUAUAGAGAAGGUUAUAAUGGACCGUCAGAAGGAAGGGUCCUCUUCUCUUUCUUCUUCUUCAUCAUUCACAGCUGAUCUUUUUGGCAUCAAGGAGUCACCCCCUUCUUCAUCAACUGGGAUUUUUGCUUCCAUCUUUCCACCUCCAUCCAGGGUUUUAGGAACGAAAUUCUCAAGCUCUGAGGUGAUAGGCUCUUGGCAAAGCAGCCCUCUGGAAAUCAAGGGUGGAACACCAAACAAGGAGCACCAGCAACCACUGGCGAGGCAGCAAGCUAUAACAUGCCUAACAAGGAAAAGAAUUCGAUUUUUAUGGAAGAACGAGCAGAGCCGUGUCAUCUAAGUUCAUCACUUUACUAUGGCGGGCAAGACAACUAUUCUCAGCCCCCAAGUAGCCAUAUUUCUGGAUCAUAUCCCAUGUUCAAGAGAGAUGGGGAAGAAGAUGAUCCUAAUGGAAGCAAUUCCAACGGUGCUUCUAGAGGAAAUUGGUGGCAAGGUAAAGUAGAUACUUAAGCUCCUGUUCUAGACUACAACACCAACUCCAACUCCAAGCUUCUUAUGUGCUUUCUGCAGGAAUUCAUAAAACCUAGGUGACAGUAAUGGAAGUCGAUGAAAAAUAAAUAAGCAGCUGAUGUGGUUAGAUCUUGUCAGCAAUUUGCAAUGCUUUUUCCAGUAAAGACAUUCAAGUUGCAUGAUUUUGAUAUAGUGCAGCCUCUAUGAAAGACAUGAAGAAAUUGUGCAACACCAAUACUCUUUCUGCUCUUUACUUGGCCGAUUUAUCUAGGCCGUUGAAUAUUGUUUUCAUUUUUCUUUUAAAGCAUGUAAGAAAUAUCAACAAAUAGAUGAAUUGUGAACCUCUUCGAUUAGAAAAGUCAACAUGGAUGCUUAAAGGUUCAAUCCCUAAAUUUUGUAAAUCUUUUCUAUCGUUUGUAGAAACAUGUGAAACUCGAAAAAAAUAGAUGAGCUUAUAAUUCUUUUCUGA